RNAcentral lists this microRNA precursor (257 nucleotides) under Medicago truncatula (barrel medic). RNAcentral's name for it is "miR2592q stem-loop (mtr-MIR2592q)". The record is from miRBase by way of RNAcentral. Lineage: Eukaryota; Viridiplantae; Streptophyta; Magnoliopsida; Fabales; Fabaceae.
GGGAUAAAUUCAAACCUGCAAAACAACAGGACUCAAGCAUUUCGCCAAACACCUCAUGUUUUCCCUUUGAAAAUAAUAAAUUUCUGUGAGGCUAGCUUUGGAUGAUGGUAUUCAAGUGCCACCGAAUUGAGGUUCAAUCCUUGACACUUAAUACAUUCAUCUAAACCAGCAUAACAAAAAUUUAAUACUUUCAAAGGAGAAACAUGAGGCGCUUGCGAAAUGCUUGAGUCCUGUUGUUUGACAAGUUUGAAUUAGCC